Molecule: non-coding RNA, 1189 nt
Organism: Lolium perenne
Lineage: Eukaryota; Viridiplantae; Streptophyta; Magnoliopsida; Poales; Poaceae
Source: RefSeq, a predicted model, not a curated record
GCCGCCGCCGCCCGCUUGUAGGCAGAGCGGCGGGAGGAGUUGCUGGUCGUCGCGUUCGUGGCGGUGGCAUCGGUAGGCGGCCGAGCAGAGAAGGAGGUGCGCAGGCUGGCCUGACGUCCAUCACGGGAUGCAGAUCGGCCUGGGCACCAUCUCCUCCUAGAUUGUUGCCGUCUACCGGGAUGAUGGCGAUGUUGGCGGAUGCGAUCUGCGGCCUGGCGGAGAAGAUUGUGCGCCCUCUCGUAUCGCUCCUCUCGUUUUUUUUGCCCCUGGUCAAACAGCAUGAUCGGCGGCGGCUAAAGCACGUGAUGGCCUGAGGCUGUGCAAGGCCGGCGUCUACAUGCUAUUGCCUCAGGUCGCCCACCUGAAACACGGUAACUUUCCGCUCUCCUUCCAUCUGACCCGCUGUCUGAUUCCAUGUAUUGCCCCAGCUCUCUUGAGAAUAACUAUUUGGUCUCCCGGUGGUACAAAGACGUGUGGUACAAUUUUGAGGAAUAAGAAAUCACUCAAGUUCUACACUUCUCCGAUGGUUGGUACCAAAAUGGCAAUGGGACAGCUUAAUCGACCAAGUAAUCAUGGUUUAUGGUGGAACUACUAAGAUAAUGUUACCACUGUUUUCUUGCUGUUAAAUGUACCGAUUACUGAUGCAGAAUGCUCUCUGCUAUGUAAUAUGUUAGAUUAAUCUGUGGAUGUGACUUAGAGCUAUGAUAAACUGAAUUGUUUCUGUCACUUAUAAAUGGCUCUUUGUAUAAAUAACAAUUUGAUGGAGCUAUUUGUGCUACAAACACAGCUUAGUGUAGCUUAAUAUGUGUGCUUACAGGCUUAUCAAUUUAAUUGUAGCCUUGGACUUUGAACCUGCUAGCCACUUUCAUAACCUGUUAAAUGUUUGUUGGUUUAGUGUCAUUUACAUGUUACUGAGAAUUUGCUGACUUUGAGAUUUUCUCAAUGCAGCCUAGACACUUUCAGGCCAAUUCAUAUGGCAUAAUAUUUGCUUUCCAGUUAAGUGUAGCACCUUCGAACACGCCUGAGCUGGGGUUGAAACGGCGGGGUCAAGGGGCUUCAUGACAGGGAUUGGUAUCAUCGCGUGCUGCCUAAGUUGGCACUGAAACAACAGGGUCAAGGGGCUCCAUGACAAGGAUGGGUGUGCCGCGCUUCAGCCGCCGUUGAAAUGGCGGGGGUCGAGGGGCUCCAU